RNAcentral lists this ribosomal RNA (202 nucleotides) under uncultured bacterium. RNAcentral describes it as "partial 16S ribosomal RNA". It matches the Rfam family "Bacterial small subunit ribosomal RNA", at positions 524 to 725 of the family's 1533-position model. The record is from RNAcentral.
UACGAAGGGGGCUAGCGUUGCUCGGAAUCACUGGGCGUAAAGCGCACGUAGGCGGAUCUUUAAGUCAGGGGUGAAAUCCCGAGGCUCAACCUCGGAACUGCCUUUGAUACUGGGGAUCUCGAGUCCGGAAGAGGUUGGUGGAACUCCGAGUGUAGAGGUGAAAUUCGUAGAUAUUCGGAAGAACACCAGUGGCGAAGGCGGC